This 71-nucleotide transfer RNA is filed under the name Candidatus Amesbacteria bacterium RIFCSPHIGHO2_01_FULL_48_32. RNAcentral's name for it is "tRNA-Pro". RNAcentral also lists the same sequence under 5 other names. The record is from RNAcentral. Lineage: Bacteria; Candidatus Amesiibacteriota.
CGGGGCGGAGUUUGACGGUAGAACGCGCGCAUGGGGUGCGUGUAGAGGCAGUUCAAUUCUGCCCGCCCCGA